Molecule: ribosomal RNA, 252 nt
Filed under: uncultured bacterium
Lineage: Bacteria
Description: partial 16S ribosomal RNA
Rfam family: Bacterial small subunit ribosomal RNA
Source: RNAcentral
GUAUCCUACGGGAGGCAGCAGUAGGGAAUCUUCCACAAUGGACGAAAGUCUGAUGGAGCAACGCCGCGUGAGUGAAGAAGGGUUUCGGCUCGUAAAGCUCUGUUGGUAGUGAAGAAAGAUAGAGGUAGUAACUGGCCUUUAUUUUAUGGUAAUUACUUAGAAAGUCACCGCUAACUACGUGCCAGCAGCCGCGGUAAUACGUAGGCGGCAAGCGUUGUUCGGAUUUAUUGGGCGUAAAGCGAGUGCAGGCGG